GGCGGCAUGCUUACACAUGCAAGUCGAACGGCAGCGGGGGAAAGCUUGCUUUCCUGCCGGCGAGUGGCGAACGGGUGAGUAAUACAUCGGAACGUGCCCUGUAGUGGGGGAUAACUAGUCGAAAGAUUAGCUAAUACCGCAUACGACCUGAGGGUGAAAGUGGGGGACCGCAAGGCCUCAUGCUAUAGGAGCGGCCGAUGUCUGAUAGCUAGUUGGUGGGUAAAGGCCCACCAAGGCGACGAUCAGUAGCUGGUCUGAGAGGACGAUCAGCCACACUGGGACUGAGACACGGCCCAGACUCCUACGGGAGGCAGCAGUGGGGAAUUUUGGACAAUGGGCGAAAGCCUGAUCCAGCAAUGCCGCGUGUGUGAAGAAGGCCUUCGGGUUGUAAAGCACUUUUGUCCGGAAAGAAAUGGCUCUGGUUAAUACCUGGGGUCGAUGACGGUACCGGAAGAAUAAGGACCGGCUAACUACGUGCCAGCAGCCGCGGUAAUACGUAGGGUCCAAGCGUUAAUCGGAAUUACUGGGCGUAAAGCGUGCGCAGGCGGUUGUGCAAGACCGAUGUGAAAUCCCCGAGCUUAACUUGGGAAUUGCAUUGGUGACUGCACGGCUAGAGUGUGUCAGAGGGGGGUAGAAUUCCACGUGUAGCAGUGAAAUGCGUAGAGAUGUGGAGGAAUACCGAUGGCGAAGGCAGCCCCCUGGGAUAACACUGACGCUCAUGCACGAAAGCGUGGGGAGCAAACAGGAUUAGAUACCCUGGUAGUCCACGCCCUAAACGAUGUCAACUAGUUGUUGGGGAUUCAUUUCCUUAGUAACGUAGCUAACGCGUGAAGUUGACCGCCUGGGGAGUACGGUCGCAAGAUUAAAACUCAAAGGAAUUGACGGGGACCCGCACAAGCGGUGGAUGAUGUGGAUUAAUUCGAUGCAACGCGAAAAACCUUACCUACCCUUGACAUGCCACUAACGAAGCAGAGAUGCAUUAGGUGCUCGAAAGAGAAAG
Molecule: ribosomal RNA, 1000 nt
Filed under: Ralstonia mannitolilytica
Lineage: Bacteria; Pseudomonadati; Pseudomonadota; Betaproteobacteria; Burkholderiales; Burkholderiaceae
Description: bacterial SSU rRNA
Rfam family: Bacterial small subunit ribosomal RNA
Source: RNAcentral